Molecule: ribosomal RNA, 728 nt
Filed under: Serratia marcescens
Lineage: Bacteria; Pseudomonadati; Pseudomonadota; Gammaproteobacteria; Enterobacterales; Yersiniaceae
Description: bacterial SSU rRNA
Rfam family: Bacterial small subunit ribosomal RNA
Source: RNAcentral
CCUGGCUCAGAUUGAACGCUGGCGGCAGGCUUAACACAUGCAAGUCGAGCGGUAGCACAGGGGAGCUUGCUCCCUGGGUGACGAGCGGCGGACGGGUGAGUAAUGUCUGGGAAACUGCCUGAUGGAGGGGGAUAACUACUGGAAACGGUAGCUAAUACCGCAUAACGUCGCAAGACCAAAGAGGGGGACCUUCGGGCCUCUUGCCAUCAGAUGUGCCCAGAUGGGAUUAGCUAGUAGGUGGGGUAAUGGCUCACCUAGGCGACGAUCCCUAGCUGGUCUGAGAGGAUGACCAGCCACACUGGAACUGAGACACGGUCCAGACUCCUACGGGAGGCAGCAGUGGGGAAUAUUGCACAAUGGGCGCAAGCCUGAUGCAGCCAUGCCGCGUGUGUGAAGAAGGCCUUCGGGUUGUAAAGCACUUUCAGCGAGGAGGAAGGUGGUGAACUUAAUACGUUCAUCAAUUGACGUUACUCGCAGAAGAAGCACCGGCUAACUCCGUGCCAGCAGCCGCGGUAAUACGGAGGGUGCAAGCGUUAAUCGGAAUUACUGGGCGUAAAGCGCACGCAGGCGGUUUGUUAAGUCAGAUGUGAAAUCCCCGGGCUCAACCUGGGAACUGCAUUUGAAACUGGCAAGCUAGAGUCUCGUAGAGGGGGGUAGAAUUCCAGGUGUAGCGGUGAAAUGCGUAGAGAUCUGGAGGAAUACCGGUGGCGAAGGCGGCCCCCUGGACG